This 496-nucleotide ribosomal RNA is filed under the name uncultured bacterium. Its description in RNAcentral is "partial 16S ribosomal RNA". It matches the Rfam family "Bacterial small subunit ribosomal RNA", at positions 28 to 507 of the family's 1533-position model. The record is from RNAcentral.
GAUGAACGCUGGCGGCGUGCCUAAUACAUGCAAGUCGAGCGAACAGACGAGGAGCUUGCUCCUCUGACGUUAGCGGCGGACGGGUGAGUAACACGUGGAUAACCUACCUAUAAGACUGGGAUAACUUCGGGAAACCGGAGCUAAUACCGGAUAAUAUAUUGAACCGCAUGGUUCAAUAGUGAAAGACGGUUUUGCUGUCACUUAUAGAUGGAUCCGCGCCGCAUUAGCUAGUUGGUAAGGUAACGGCUUACCAAGGCAACGAUGCGUAGCCGACCUGAGAGGGUGAUCGGCCACACUGGAACUGAGACACGGUCCAGACUCCUACGGGAGGCAGCAGUAGGGAAUCUUCCGCAAUGGGCGAAAGCCUGACGGAGCAACGCCGCGUGAGUGAUGAGGUCUUCGGAUCGUAAAACUCUGUUAUUAGGGAAGAACAAAUGUGUAAGUAACUAUGCACGUCUUGACGGUACCUAAUCAGAAAGCCACGGCUAACUACGUG